This 839-nucleotide long non-coding RNA is filed under the name Olea europaea (common olive). RNAcentral's name for it is "long non-coding RNA (OEUR_LNC005425)". The record is from RNAcentral. Lineage: Eukaryota; Viridiplantae; Streptophyta; Magnoliopsida; Lamiales; Oleaceae.
CAUGAUUCAAUUUCACCACUACCUACUAGCUUCCCAACCCAGCUCUUGCCCAAAUACAAUACAAUCCAAUAUAUCUUAUUCUACUCUUCUUUUACCAACCACAUGUUCAUCUGAAUUAGAACUAUCGAUCUACAAGAUGAAAGGACAUUAAGAAGCGCGGCCAUGGCAACUUUUUUGAAUCUUUUCAUUCAGCCUCUCAUAGUCUCACUCAUGUCACUCUGACCCCUCGACAAGACCACACCGACGCCACCUUCAAUCUUCCUUUCAUCAACAUCUUCAGCGGCCAACAGCGCAGGCAGCAGUGAUUCAUUUUUGGAAGAAGAAAGAAGGUGAACAAGAACCACUGAAUCAUGAACAGGUGAAGCCCGAAGCCUAAAGCCCUCUCGUCGAACUUUUAUUUUUAUUUGUUAUUUUAAUUUGAUUUCAACCUAAAGUCAAGAUGAGUUAUGUACCAAUGUUGUGAUUCUUAUGAAAUUCAUUUGCUGAAUUGUGGGUAAUAAAACUCAAACUCAGAAGCUUCUGGAGCGACGGAGCCUUAAGCCUAGAGUUAAUACCUAAUCGGAUGUCGUCUCUGCUCCUUCGUCCGGGGUGUAUUCAAUAGGAUGUUUUGCUUAGGUUAGACACCAACCUAUCGAUUUAAAAUUGUUUAUCAAUUAUCAGUUUUGUGAGUUACAGUCAACAUAUGGGUUGUGAUUUGGGAACUAAAUUGAACAUUUUGAGAGUAUUUUGCUUAAUUUUAGGCAUAGGUUGUUUUGGGCUUCACUUGCUUUUGCUUCCAGUUACUUGUUUUUGUUUUCAAUUACUUGAUAAUGACGUUGUUGUAAAACGAUAUCAAAGCA